UAGGGAAUCUUCGGCAAUGGACGAAAGUCUGCCCGAGCAACGCCGCGUGAGUGAAGAAGGAUUUCGGAUCGUAAAACUCUGUUGUUAGAGAAGAACAAGGACGUUAGUAACUGAACGUCCCCUGACGGUAUCUAACCAGAAAGCCACGGCUAACUACGUGCCAGCAGCCGCGGUAAUACGUAGGUGGCAAGCGUUGUCCGGAUUUAUUGGGCGUAAAGCGAGCGCAGGCGGUUUCUUAAGGCUGAUGUGAAAGCCCCCGGCUCAACCGGGGAGGGUCAUUGGAAACUGGGAGAGUUGAGUGCAGAAGAGGAGAGUGGAAUUCCAUGUGUAGCGGUGAAAUGCGUAGAUAGGAGGAGGAACACCAGUGAAGACGGCGGCUCGCUGGUCUGUAGCUGACGCUGAGGCUCGAAAGCGUGGGGAGCAAACAGG
Molecule: ribosomal RNA, 429 nt
Filed under: Gemmatimonadota bacterium
Lineage: Bacteria; Pseudomonadati; Gemmatimonadota
Description: Gemmatimonadetes bacterium partial 16S ribosomal RNA
Rfam family: Bacterial small subunit ribosomal RNA
Source: RNAcentral